RNAcentral lists this ribosomal RNA (1390 nucleotides) under bacterium NLAE-zl-P573. RNAcentral describes it as "16S ribosomal RNA". It matches the Rfam family "Bacterial small subunit ribosomal RNA". The record is from RNAcentral.
AGUCGAGGGGCAGCAUGGUCUUAGCUUGCUAAGGCCGAUGGCGACCGGCGCACGGGUGAGUAACACGUAUCCAACCUGCCGUCUACUCUUGGACAGCCUUCUGAAAGGAAGAUUAAUACAAGAUGGCAUCAUGAGUCCGCAUGUUCACAUGAUUAAAGGUAUUCCGGUAGACGAUGGGGAUGCGUUCCAUUAGAUAGUAGGCGGGGUAACGGCCCACCUAGUCUUCGAUGGAUAGGGGUUCUGAGAGGAAGGUCCCCCACAUUGGAACUGAGACACGGUCCAAACUCNUACGGGAGGCAGCAGUGAGGAAUAUUGGUCAAUGGGCGAGAGCCUGAACCAGCCAAGUAGCGUGAAGGAUGACUGCCCUAUGGGUUGUAAACUUCUUUUAUAAAGGAAUAAAGUCGGGUAUGNAUACCCGUUUGCAUGUNCUUUAUGAAUAAGGAUCGGCUAACUCCGUGCCAGCAGCCGCGGUAAUACGGAGGAUCCGAGCGUUAUCCGGAUUUAUUGGGUUUAAAGGGAGCGUAGAUGGAUGUUUAAGUCAGUUGUGAAAGUUUGCGGCUCAACCGUAAAAUUGCAGUUGAUACUGGAUAUCUUGAGUGCAGUUGAGGCAGGCGGAAUUCGUGGUGUAGCGGUGAAAUGCUUAGAUAUCACGAAGAACUCCGAUUGCGAAGGCAGCCUGCUAAGCUGCAACUGACAUUGAGGCUCGAAAGUGUGGGUAUCAAACAGGAUUAGAUACCCUGGUAGUCCACACGGUAAACGAUGAAUACUCGCUGUUUGCGAUAUACGGCAAGCGGCCAAAGCGAAAGCGUUAAGUAUUCCACCUGGGGAGUACGCCGGCAACGGUGAAACUCAAAGGAAUUGACGGGGGCCCGCACAAGCGGAGGAACAUGUGGUUUAAUUCGAUGAUACGCGAGGAACCUUACCCGGGCUUAAAUUGCAGAUGAAUUACGGUGAAAGCCGUAAGCCGCAAGGCAUCUGUGAAGGUGCUGCAUGGUUGUCGUCAGCUCGUGCCGUGAGGUGUCGGCUUAAGUGCCAUAACGAGCGCAACCCUUGUUGUCAGUUACUAACAGGUUCCGCUGAGGACUCUGACAAGACUGCCAUCGUAAGAUGUGAGGAAGGUGGGGAUGACGUCAAAUCAGCACGGCCCUUACGUCCGGGGCUACACACGUGUUACAAUGGGGGGUACAGAGGGCCGCUACCACGCGAGUGGAUGCCAAUCCCAAAAACCUCUCUCAGUUCGGACUGGAGUCUGCAACCCGACUCCACGAAGCUGGAUUCGCUAGUAAUCGCGCAUCAGCCACGGCGCGGUGAAUACGUUCCCGGGCCUUGUACACACCGCCCGUCAAGCCAUGGGAGCCGGGGGUACCUGAAGUGCGUAAACCGCGAGGAG